CAGGCUAUACUCGUUUUCGUUUUGCAGGCUAUACUCGUUUUCGUUUUGCAGGCUAUACUCGUUUUCGUUUUGCAGGCUAUAACCGUUUUCGUUUUGCAGGCUAUAACCGUUUUUGUUUUGCAGGCCCUAACCUUUUAAGGGCCCAAACCGUUUCCGUUUUGCGGGCCCCAACCGUUCCGUUUUGCGGGCCCUGACCGUUUUCGUUUUGCGUGCCCCGACCGUUUUCGUAGGCUCUAACCAUGCUUAUUGCAAGUUGCGUUGGCAUUUCUGAUGCAAGGCCUGUCUUCGGAGCAGGAUGUUGAACACAUAAGUGUUUUGUGUGACCAUUUUGUUUUCAGGUUACCAUUCUCUUUUUCAGGUUUCGUUGAAAUUUAAAUAGUUGAUGCACUUGGAUAACUGGUAGAAUUGUGUAUUAUGAAACCGUUCAGAUCUGCAAUAGAAUUGUUGAUGCUGUCAAAGCUGGCCUAAAGAUAAUAAAACUACUUGUUUGUAUUUUAUUUUCGAUACACACAGGUUUAAAAACAUCGAGUGGAAACUUGCAUACAUGUUGACAAAUUGUGGAUAUUAUACCCGUUGAUAAAUAUACAAUAAAAAGGACUCGAAUUGUUGAUGAAGCACAUGUGGCAUAUCUGGACGUCUGGUUAAACUUAUUAACUGAUGGCAAAUCGUGGAUGAAACCGUUUAUUUAUUUAAUAUAAAAGUUUACUUGGAUUGUUGAUGAACACGAGCAUCGCUGCUGGCCUUUCAUCGAGUUGACAUUUGCGUAAUUGAGACAAAUUGUGGGAAUGGAACUGUUGAUUUAUUUGCUAUGAACUUAACUGAACUGUAAGAGUGCGUCGACUACAUAGAAAAAGAUUUGCACUGCGGAGAAAUGAUUAUCAGUAUUACUGGAAUAGUGAUUUUGAUCAUAUUAUUGAUAACAACGCACACAACCUCAUGGAAACACAAUGAAGGGGGACAGGAGCGUUGUGAAACUGAAGUUGACAUCAAAUCUACAAAUUGUCCUUUGGAAAAGACCAUAGGAGCUCGACUGUGGUACAAGCAUCGAAGUGACCAUCACAAUCGGACAGCGGUUCUUUUUUAUGGCAUUAAAUCCGAUAUCAACUGAACUCAAUUUGGGGAACUAAAGACUGAUCAGCAGAUUAACACAGUCCAAAUCUGACACUAUGAAACUCUAAAAAAAAUGUGACUAGUGCCGCCUCAGACUGAUUCUGCGACUCUUGGAUCAACUAUAAACGCCGAAACUUUGAUGAACAAACUAUUUAGAUAAUAUUGACAUCUCCUCACUUAAAACUCAAUACAUUGAGACGAUUCACAACUAACUGAAAUUGAUUUAUGAUGAAAUAUCUUGCCACACAUAUAAGACCGUGGUAAGAUACACGACUGUUGUAAAAAUUGAUGGAAUGCUUAAUUAUCAGCUGAGGCCCACUAUGUAUUAAAGCGAACUGUGGGCUCUUUCAGACUUUUUUAUAUUAUCAAUAUUAUGUGAAAUUUAUUUUGAUAUUUUGAAUCCGGUACUUUAUUUUAAGCGGAGUGCGAGUACAAUUUAGAGUUAUUCGAUUUUUUAAAAUUGCUGUAGGGUUGGGGUGGGCUUUCUACACGGAUAGAUGCUGUUAACAGCUCCGUGUAUGGUUUACAGCAAUUUUAUUUCCGUUUUAAUCAAAAUAAUAAGGUGCGAAAUCAAUUGCUAUUUAGGCCCAAUAUAAUAAUAUUAAUCUAUUCAGUUUGCAGUCGUACAAUCCGGUCAAUUAUCGUUUUGCGGCUUUGCUUUUAGAAGAUUUAUAUCUUUGUGUCAAGAUACGUCUAUAAAUCUUUUCUAGAUGUUUCCUGUCGCUUUUAAUGCUAUACAUUACAAGGUACAGUAACGCAGUUAUUAUGGAAAUACUUUUACAAAUAAAUAUUUUUAUUGUAGAAAUUUUACUUGUUCUGACGAA
This is a long non-coding RNA of Styela clava, 1934 nucleotides long. RefSeq lists it as uncharacterized. Lineage: Eukaryota; Metazoa; Chordata; Ascidiacea; Stolidobranchia; Styelidae. The record is from RefSeq and is a predicted model, not a curated record.